UGAAUACGUUCCCGGGCCUUGUACACACCGCCCGUCACACCAUGGGAGUGGGUUGCAAAAGAAGUAGGUAGCUUAACCUUCGGGAGGGCGCUUACCACUUUGUGAWUCAUGACUGGGGUGAAGUCGUAACAAGGUAACCGUAGGGGAACCUGCGGUUGGAUCACCUCCUUACCUUAAAGAAGC
Molecule: ribosomal RNA, 183 nt
Filed under: Escherichia coli
Lineage: Bacteria; Pseudomonadati; Pseudomonadota; Gammaproteobacteria; Enterobacterales; Enterobacteriaceae
Description: partial 16S ribosomal RNA
Rfam family: Bacterial small subunit ribosomal RNA
Source: RNAcentral